GGGGUGGUAGCUCAAUUCGGGAGAGCGUCUGUUUUACACACAGAAGGUCAGGAGUUCGAAUCUCCUCUACCCUACCA
This 77-nucleotide transfer RNA is filed under the name Crocinitomicaceae bacterium. RNAcentral's name for it is "tRNA-Val". It matches the Rfam family "tRNA". Rfam says of the family: Transfer RNA (tRNA) molecules are approximately 80 nucleotides in length. Their secondary structure includes four short double-helical elements and three loops (D, anti-codon, and T loops). Further hydrogen bonds mediate the characteristic L-shaped molecular structure. tRNAs have two regions of fundamental functional importance: the anti-codon, which is responsible for specific mRNA codon recognition, and the 3' end, to which the tRNAs corresponding amino acid is attached (by aminoacyl-tRNA synthetases). tRNAs cope with the degeneracy of the genetic code in two manners: having more than one tRNA (with a specific anti-codon) for a particular amino acid; and 'wobble' base-pairing, i.e. permitting non-standard base-pairing at the 3rd anti-codon position. The record is from RNAcentral. Lineage: Bacteria; Pseudomonadati; Bacteroidota; Flavobacteriia; Flavobacteriales; Crocinitomicaceae.